Molecule: ribosomal RNA, 961 nt
Filed under: uncultured bacterium
Lineage: Bacteria
Description: bacterial SSU rRNA
Rfam family: Bacterial small subunit ribosomal RNA
Source: RNAcentral
GCNUGAGGGAUGACGGCCUUAGGGUNNUAAACCUNUUUUNCCAGAAGGGAGACCGACUGGAGAANAAGCNCCGCUAACUACGUGCCAGCAGCUGCGGUAAUACGUAGGGUGCGAGCGUUGUCCGGAUUUAUUGGGCGUAAAGAGUUCGUAGGCUUUUUGGUAAGUUAUGUUUCAAAGACCGGGGCUUAACCUCGGAAAGGGGCAUAAUACUGCCAGAAUUGAAGGAUGUCGGGGNUACUGGAANNUCGGUGUAGGGGUGAAAUCCGUUGAUAUCGACAAGAACACCAAGGGCGAAGGCGGGUAGCUAGGCAUUUCUUGACGCUGAGGAACGAAAGCUAGGGUAGCGAAAGCGAUUAGAGACCGCUGUAGUCCUAGCCGUAAACGAUGCUCGCUAGGGAUGGGGAAUUUAUUUUUCCGUCUCGCAAGCUAACGCGUUAAGCGAGCCGCCUGGGGAGUACGGUCGCAAGACUAAAACUCAAAGGAAUUGACGGGGACCUGCACAACCAGUGGAGCAUGUGGUUUAAUUCGAGACGAACCGAAGAACCUUACCUGGACUUGACAUACUAGUUGCACAUCACCAGAGAUGGUGACUCUUUCGAAGGUACUAGAACAGGUGCUGCAUGGCUGUCGUCAGCUCGUGUCGUGAGGUGUUCCCUUCAGUGGGGUAACGAGCGCAACCCCUGCCGUAUGUUGAAUAUUCAUACGGGACUGCCCGAGUCAUUCUCGGGAGGAAGGCGGGGACGACGUCAAGUCAGCAUGGCCCUUAUGUCCAGGGCUACACACAUGCUACAAUGGAGCCGACAAUGGGUUGCCAAGCGGUAACGCGGAGCUAAUCCCAUCAAACGGCUUCUCAGUGGGGAUUGAGGGCUGCAAUUCGCCCUCAUGAACGUGGAAUUGGUAGUAAUCGCGGAUCAGCCAAGCCGCGGUGAAUACGUUCUCAGGUCUUGCACACACCGCCCGU